UACGUAGGGGGCAAGCGUUUGUCCGGAGUUUAUUGGGCGUAAAGAGGCGUGUAGGCGGCUUUACAGGUCCGUUGGUGAAAACUCGAGGCUCAACCUCGAGACGCCGGUGGAAACCGUAAAGCUAGAGUCCGGAAGAGGAGAGUGGAAAUUCCUGGUGUAGCGGUGGAAUGCGCAGAUAUCAGGAGGAACACCGAUGGCGAAGGCAGUUCUCUGGGCCGUAACUGACGCUGAGGAGCGAAAGCGUGGGGAGCGAACAGG
RNAcentral lists this ribosomal RNA (258 nucleotides) under uncultured bacterium. RNAcentral's name for it is "partial 16S ribosomal RNA". It matches the Rfam family "Bacterial small subunit ribosomal RNA", at positions 524 to 776 of the family's 1533-position model. The record is from RNAcentral.